Molecule: non-coding RNA, 74 nt
Organism: Podarcis lilfordi (Lilford's wall lizard)
Lineage: Eukaryota; Metazoa; Chordata; Lepidosauria; Squamata; Lacertidae
Source: the annotation of a GenBank genome assembly
GCCUGGAUAGCUCAGUUGGUUAGGGCAUGGUGCUGAAAUGCCAAGGCUGCAAAUUCAAUCCCCUUCCCAGGGCA